CCUACGGGUGGCAGCAGUGAGGAAUAUUGGUCAAUGGACGAGAGUCUGAACCAGCCAAGUAGCGUGAAGGAUGACUGCCCUAUGGGUUGUAAACUUCUUUUAUAUGGGAAUAAAAUGUUCCACGUGUGGGAUUUUGUAUGUACCAUAUGAAUAAGGAUCGGCUAACUCCGUGCCAGCAGCCGCGGUAAUACGGAGGAUCCGAGCGUUAUCCGGAUUUAUUGGGUUUAAAGGGAGCGUAGGUGGAUUGUUAAGUCAGUUGUGAAAGUUUGCGGCUCAACCGUAAAAUUGCAGUUGAAACUGGCAGUCUUGAGUACAGUAGAGGUGGGCGGAAUUCGUGGUGUAGCGGUGAAAUGCUUAGAUAUCACUAAGAACUCCGAUUGCGAAGGCAGUUCACUGGACUGCAACUGACACUGAGGCUCGAAAGUGUGGGUAUCAAACAGGAUUAGAUACCCGUGUAGUC
Molecule: ribosomal RNA, 460 nt
Filed under: uncultured bacterium
Lineage: Bacteria
Description: partial 16S ribosomal RNA
Rfam family: Bacterial small subunit ribosomal RNA
Source: RNAcentral